This 406-nucleotide ribosomal RNA is filed under the name uncultured bacterium. RNAcentral's name for it is "partial 16S ribosomal RNA". It matches the Rfam family "Bacterial small subunit ribosomal RNA", at positions 30 to 526 of the family's 1533-position model. The record is from RNAcentral.
AUUGAACGCUGGCGGCAGGCCUAACACAUGCAAGUCGAACGAGUGGCGGACGGGUGAGAAACGUCUGGGAACCUGCCUGAUGGAGGGGGAUAACUACUGGAAACGGUCGCUAAUACCGCAUACCAUCAGAUGUGCCCAGAUGGGCUUAGCUAGUUGGGGGGGUAACGGCUCACCAAGGCGACGAUCCCUAGCUGGUCUGAGAGGAUGACCAGCCACACUGGAACUGGGACACGGUCCAGACUCCGACGGGAGGCAGCAGUGGGGAAUAUUGGACAAUGGGCGCAAGCCUGAUGCAGCCAUGCCGCGUGUAUGAAGAAGGCCUUCGGGUUGUAAAGUACUUUCAGCGGGGAGGCGUUACCCGCAGAAGAAGCACCGGCUAACUCCGUGCCAGCAGCCGCGGUAAUUC